UUUUACAGUGCGUGUGCAACUAUAUUCUCAAUCAGCACUGCUCCAAUAUUAUUUUUUAAAGGACAGCAUCACAGUAAAUUAUCAUCCUGAAGCUCUGCACAGCACCAUGGUUUAUGCAGAUUUGUAACAUGAAGAAGAGAAAAGGAGCAGCUGUUGACUCAAGAUGCAGAAAAUCAACUGUGAAUGUGAAUUAAAAGGUUCACGUGGUCACACAACCCAGGACAUUGCACUCAAGUAACCAGUGAAUAAAGAAUGUGAGGACUUCAGUUAAGAUGCAAACCAUCUUAAAUCUGAUUUAGCAAUCAAAGCGUUUAAGGAUCACAGAGGGGGUCUUGUUUGUGAAAGCCCCAUCAUGACACACAACACUGCCCCGUCUCCCAUGGCUGCCUGUGCAGUGGCUGACAGCCAACUAAUGACUUUGAUCGAGGGUUCCUACCAACAGCCUCAUGAAUUAAUCAUCACCUUCCCUUGACCUGUGCAUUGAUACUAUCUCAGCCAGUCUCUGCAGCCUCCCGAGGACCAGAUAGGUUAUGUAAGUUGAGAGAUGAUAGACUAGAUGGAUGGGAUGCAGAAGGAGCUCAUGCCUUGCAGUCAAGAGCAACGAUUGUGAUUGAUGCUGGCAGUUUGUUUUUAAUAAGCAGGUUAUGUUGCUUUGUGAAAACACUUAAUGCACUGGAAAUAAGUAAUGACACUGUUAUGUGUG
This is a long non-coding RNA of Melanotaenia boesemani (Boeseman's rainbowfish), 703 nucleotides long. RefSeq lists it as uncharacterized. Lineage: Eukaryota; Metazoa; Chordata; Actinopteri; Atheriniformes; Melanotaeniidae. The transcript has 3 exons. The record is from RefSeq and is a predicted model, not a curated record.